GCACUGCUGACCAGUCCUAGACAGGACGAAACAGCUGUCCAGUGC
This 45-nucleotide non-coding RNA is filed under the name Echinostoma caproni. Lineage: Eukaryota; Metazoa; Platyhelminthes; Trematoda; Plagiorchiida; Echinostomatidae. The record is from RNAcentral.